RNAcentral lists this ribosomal RNA (791 nucleotides) under Rhodococcus sp. (in: high G+C Gram-positive bacteria). Its description in RNAcentral is "bacterial SSU rRNA". It matches the Rfam family "Bacterial small subunit ribosomal RNA", at positions 57 to 859 of the family's 1533-position model. Lineage: Bacteria; Bacillati; Actinomycetota; Actinomycetes; Mycobacteriales; Nocardiaceae. The record is from RNAcentral.
GCAAGUCGAACGAUGAAGCCCAGCUUGCUGGGUGGAUUAGUGGCGAACGGGUGAGUAACACGUGGGUGAUCUGCCCUGCACUUCGGGAUAAGCCUGGGAAACUGGGUCUAAUACCGGAUAGGACCUCGGGAUGCAUGUUCCGGGGUGGAAAGGUUUUCCGGUGCAGGAUGGGCCCGCGGCCUAUCAGCUUGUUGGUGGGGUAACGGCCCACCAAGGCGACGACGGGUAGCCGGCCUGAGAGGGCGACCGGCCACACUGGGACUGAGACACGGCCCAGACUCCUACGGGAGGCAGCAGUGGGGAAUAUUGCACAAUGGGCGCAAGCCUGAUGCAGCGACGCCGCGUGAGGGAUGACGGCCUUCGGGUUGUAAACCUCUUUCAGUACCGACGAAGCGCAAGUGACGGUAGGUACAGAAGAAGCACCGGCCAACUACGUGCCAGCAGCCGCGGUAAUACGUAGGGUGCGAGCGUUGUCCGGAAUUACUGGGCGUAAAGAGCUCGUAGGCGGUUUGUCGCGUCGUCUGUGAAAACCCGCAGCUCAACUGCGGGCUUGCAGGCGAUACGGGCAGACUUGAGUACUGCAGGGGAGACUGGAAUUCCUGGUGUAGCGGUGAAAUGCGCAGAUAUCAGGAGGAACACCGGUGGCGAAGGCGGGUCUCUGGGCAGUAACUGACGCUGAGGAGCGAAAGCGUGGGUAGCGAACAGGAUUAGAUACCCUGGUAGUCCACGCCGUAAACGGUGGGCGCUAGGUGUGGGUUUCCUUCCACGGGAUCCGUGCCGUAGCUAACGCA